UGCUGGUGCCUGAGCGCCACAGAGCCGGAGCCGGAGCCGGGGAGCCCGGCGCUUGGGGGUAACCCGAGCCCUCGAAGCCCUUGAGGCUGCGGGGGUGGCUUAGCUUCAGUGUUUUGGCUGAGAACACCCUUAAAGCUUAAAAUAAAACCUGCCUGUGGGGUGUGGAGGAGGACCGAGGCGUGCGCAUCAGCGCCCCUCCCUGCCCCCUCAGUUCUGGUGUAGGGGAGAGGAUGGUGAGGACUUGGACCCGAGGAGCCGAGGAACCGGAGCGCCCCCGACCCACACCUCAGCCCGCCCCCAGAUGCCUGCCCAAACUUACGAAGGAAAUGCAGGCGGCCAGGAGAAGGAUCCGCACCAGGAGGUCUUCAAACUGCUCUAUCACCAACUCCCACAGGGUCUUCCCUGGGGGAAGAGGCAGGGGAGGGUCCCGCCCCCGGGGGAGGGGGUUAAGGUCUGGAGGAUGAAUGGCUCGGACUCUAAGGGCAGGCUGGGAUCCAGGGACCAACAGUGGCCUAACUUCCAGCCUGAGCAGGAAGGUUCUAGGGGGAUGAGCAGGCCGCCUGGCAUUGAGAGGAGGCACUCUCGCCGGGAGUCCUGAAACGGGCUCCACAAACUGGUGGUGGGCAGUUAGUUGCUCAAGGACUGGAGGCCUCUGGGAGAAAGUGCCUGGAAACUCCUGCCCCCAGCCAGACUCUAACCUUUGGAGAGGGUAUUUGCCCCGGGAGUCAGUAGGGAGAAGGUGGGGAUAAAGGAGUGGGCACAGGGGCUGGGAGGCGGGGGCUGGUCAUUAAGAGAGCUCAGGGAUUCCAGUAACUUACCUUCCUCAGCAGGGAGCUCUACCCAGGAAAAAGAAGAAAAGGACAUAUUCAUUUGGGGUUCAGUCUAAUGCCCCCCACACCCAGGAUUCUGGCUAAGAUGGGGACACUGAGGCCGCAGAGCCUACCUCCUUGCCUAGGCCGAAGAGCAAAGGAGAGGAAAAGCCAGGAGUGAAAAAAAAUGGGGCUCCAUCCUCUACCCUCCAGCUUCCCAGCUCAGCCCUGAGAAGGGGGCAGCCAGCCUGUCCCCGGGCCCCUCUGCAGCCAGCCUGUGACUGCCACUUUAAAUUUCUUCUGACACAGCCACCAACCAGGCCCUGGCCCCACUCACUCUCCCUAGGGUGAGAAGCCUUAACUGAAGAAUUCAGAGUGUGUGUGUGUGGGGUCCUUAGAAGUUGUCAAUCUCGUUGCUCCCUGUCCUGUCCUGUCCCAUUAUGAGAACUUGGCUGGAGACACUGGGAAGCACGGUAUGGCUCUGCACUUACCACUCUACAGCACAGGGGAACAACGGGCCGAAAGCACAGUGCUGGAGGGCAACAGGGACUUGACCUGACCCUCUGGCCUCUCAGCUCUGGAGUGGAAACACUGAGUGGACUGCCUUCCUGACUCCCCUGUCCCAGCCCCCCACUGCAAACACUGGCCACAGCCAUCGCGAUGCAACUGAGAUAAACCCUUUUAUUUAUUUA
Canis lupus familiaris (dog) is the source of this 1501-nucleotide long non-coding RNA. RefSeq lists it as uncharacterized. The transcript is spliced from 2 exons. NCBI's taxonomy places the organism in Eukaryota, Metazoa, Chordata, Mammalia, Carnivora, Canidae. The record is from RefSeq and is a predicted model, not a curated record.